AUAACAUGACUGCAUAGUUUCACCAUCUGCAACAGGGAAUGACAAUAGUGCCCUCCUAUAAGGAAAGGUUCUCCCUGCCCCCCAUAAUUUCUUCCACCAUCUUCCAACCAUAGCCCCUCUUUUUCUUUUGGGAAGCUGCUCCUCCCCCACUCAAUCCAUGUGGCUCUUUCAAAUGCACCCACUACUAGGUUUCAUGGCUGGACGUGUAAUCCAAGCCUGGCUAGUCAAAAUCAAAGACUAGGUCAGGGAUCGUCAUAUGAUCCAGUGUAAGCCAACGAGAGUUUGUUUCAGGAAUUUUGCUAAAAUAUUGUGAAAGAUCUCUUUCCAUAGGCUUUGAACUUAGAGCUACUAGUGGCCAUCUUGAGGAGAGCUAAUGAAUAAAGCCAACAGAAAGAAAGACAAACCUGAGAGUUGGAGAGAAACAGAUUCCUAAGAACAUUGAGUUCAGGGAUCCAGCCACGCCUGAGGCAUCCCCUGGUCUUUUCAAUUACAUGUGUCAAGGCAUUCCCUUUUUUGCUUAAACUCAUUUGAGAUGAGUAUCUGUCACUUGCAACCUAAGGAGUGCUGACUAAUACAUUCUCUCUCAAGGUUAUUACGAGGAGUAAAUGAGAUAAUGUUAUGUCAAGUACUUCGCACAGUACAUGCAUGGUACAUGACAAGAGCUCAAUAAAUAAUUGAAAGCCAGCCAUCCCAUUUUCAAAUCCUGCUAAGUGCAAAGCUUUCUGGAAGGACUGACUCCCCAGUGUAGGCCAUGCUCACCAGGAAAUCCUCAGCACUCAGCAAAUACCAAAACACUUCAUAUCACCCUUUUCUCCUUUGAGUGGCUUCUGAUCUGUGCAACUCCCAGAAUUGAUCCAGGUAUUAUUCCUCCCUAUGCCAUGUCUUCUUGUCAUGGUGACUAUUUCAUCUGACCUUUCUCCUCUCUGACAUAUGUCAUGCCAAAUCCAGGAUAUCCUAUAAAUUGUAAGCAACUUAUAGGGUUCAGAAAGCAAUUCUGGGUGAGGGUUUUAACCUGCAUUUGAUUAAACACUACCUCCUUCCUGCCCAAUGCUUUAGGCAAAAGAAAACAAUUUUCCUUCUCUGAUCUACUCUGUCCUAGUCUAAAACCUCUUUUCUCCCUGUACUGCCACCUCUAAUUUUAUUCCUGAGGUCCCAUUUCAUAUUUAUGAGGAAUAUGAAGCUGGUUAGGGGAAAAAAGAAGUGCAUUUUAGCUUAAAUAUCACAAAGAAGCAGAUGAUCCAAGGAGGAAGAAGAGUGGACCUGCAGGCUCCUUUGCAAAGGCACUAGGCAGAGUGAGCAAGAAUUUAAUGGCUGUCACUGGCCAGACCACAAGGCCCUUAAGUCAGUCAUUUAUUUCACACACACACAUGGCCCAGCCUAAGCAGGAGGCAAGGGAGAAAGGAUUCUUUUAUGAUUCUGGCUUCCCUAAAACUCUCCAUAAAAACAAUAAUGAUAAAAUUAUAUGCCGAAUUGGCUGUUUAUUGAAUGGAGCCCAGUCUGUGGGCCAAGUGUGGCUCAGAGGGAGCACUAUGUAUCUUGCCAAGGAGGGGCAAGGGGCCAAAGGAAGCAUUCUCCCCAUCACUGUUUCAGUGAGAAGACCUAUGUCUAAUCCCCCAAAUCAGGUCACCUCUCAUCAUUCAUCUUGCUGCACAGUUUAAUGUGACAGCCACAAAAACGGAAAGGAAGUUGGACUGGCCAAGUGUUUCUGAGCAUUCAGAGGGAGCUGGAUCAACCUUAGAGGCAGGAACAGCUGCAUAAUUUGUGGGCCCAGUGCACAAUGAAAAUGUGGAGUCUCUUAUCCAAAAAUUAUUAAGAAUUUCAAGAUGGCAGCAGCAGAACUUUAAACCAAACAUAAGACCCAUCUAAGCAUGAGGCCCUAUGUGGCUACACCGGUCACAUGUCCCUGAAGCUUACCAUGCCCAGAAUCAAGGGAUCCAGCAAAGCAGGAAGGAUAAAAUAAGGCACAAUGAAACAGAUUCCCAUCUCCAUUUUCUAUUUUUGUUUGUUAGGGAGCAUACCUGUCUCAGGUAUGCAGACUUCAUGGUGGUCUUUUGUACCAUAACAGUCCAGGGAGAGAAAUGUUUUAAGCCCCAGGGGAGGGGAGGGUCCCCAACCCACAACGGGAGCUGCCUUCUCAGUGUUUUAAGAACCCAGAUGCCACAUUCUGCUAUAGGUCUCAGCUGACAUCUCCCCUUCAUGGGAAGAAAACCAUUGGUGUACAAAAAGGAGAAACAGAAUAUGGCAAUGGCAGAAUAUGGCAAAUCAUGACAUCUAAUGAUGAACCUUAGGACAUGGAAGUUUAGAUUCAGCAUACAAAAAUCUUUAAUAAUGUGAACUUCAGUUUAAAGUGGUGGAAUGGGGACUUUAUAAAGAGAGGCCAGUCUGAAGGGCAGAAUUAUAAUUUUAUUCCUUCCAAGUUCAGUGUCCAAGCCACUAAUCUAUUCUUCAAACCACUGCCUUAUACAAAUCUUUAGGGAAUCUGUGACUUAUUUUGGAUUAUCUUGCAACUGAUGUGUGUAUAUAGUAGAUGUUUUUAAAACUUGAGAGAGCUUAAAGUACAUUUUCCUCAGGAUUGUCCCAUUUAUAGCUCUCAGGUGCCCCUAAUUAUUUACACUUUGAAGACUGGAUUUGCCAAACAAAAGCAAAUUACAAUUCACCCCCUACUUAAAGCCUUAAAUGUUAUUCAAAAGAUGGUUGGACUUGAACUUAAAAAAAUGUUAAAUUGGAAAUUAUUAUUUAACAAUGGGCUGGUCCAGUGGUUACAAAGACCAGGCUUCCAGCCCUGAUAUGACAGAACCAUCUGGGAAGCUUUUAGAAAAAUAUGGAUUUCCUGAACCUUUCCCCAGAAAAUGUUCAGUCAUGAAAGUGAAGCUAGGGAAUGUGUAUUUCAAUAAAACUAUUGGUUUAAUUUGGUAAACAUUAAAGAGAACUAUAUGGGCAGAAGCAUCACAAGUCAAACAACCAAACACAAAGUAGGAGUUAAUCUGAGUUACACAGAGGGACCUGGGUCUGAGAGCUAGAAGUGAAAGUGUAUCAUACAAGACCCUCCAAGCCAGCACAGGCACUAUAUAUACAUAGGCCCACACACUGGAACAGGACUCUACACAUGAGACUGCAGAAUGCAUAUAAUUUAUCCACAAAGGAAUAUUUUGUGUCCAAGCUCUGAUCAUGGCUUAACUUCAGACUUGCCAUGGCAUGUCCCCCAUUCCUCCCAUCGUGAGGAUAGUGGUGCUUUUGUCUGUCCCCUCUCUCACCCCCAACUAACUGGGAGAAAUCCUAAAAGGCUUAAGCAGCCCUUGGGAAGGGCCCAUCAUUUCAGGAAUCCCUUUGUUGACUGAGGCAGUUCCCACUGCAUGGCGGGAGGAUCUGGAAGCAGAACACAUCCAAGGUCCACAGUCACAAACCCAGAGAUUUCAUUCUCAUGCUGUGGCCUGUAGGCCUUUCUAUAGUAGGUUCCCCCAGUUUCCCUCUUUCCCUUUUUAGUGUCUUACUUGGUGCCUUUCUCUUUUCUGUGAGCAGUUGGUCCUCCUCAUCCCCUAGUGGCUUGUAGUUGGUCUGUUACUGUCACUCCACAUGGUCACUCCUUUCAGUCCCAGCAGGCACAAUGAUUUGGACACCCUCUUCACAUAGCUGUCAACCCAUCUCUCUAGGCUAUAGUCUGCAUGGCCAUUGACUGGGAUUAGGUUUCCUUUUUUUGCUGCUAAAAGUGUAUCUUUGUCAGUGCUGUGGGUCUUGGGAUGAUUCCUCUGCCUUAGCAGAAUGUUAUAAUCAGUUUCCAAGAGCAUCCUUAAGAGGCAAAUUUCUAAUGUCUGCUAAUAAGGAAUGGCUCUGAACAAAGUAGCCUGGAUUAGCCUUGCAAAAGUGAAAAUGACAACAGGGCCUGCCUCCAAAAUGCUGCAAUAUUACAUGCAUGCCCUGCCUGCCUCUGCCUUGAAACCCUACAAGCCACCAUCUCGAGAACAUCAAAAGAAAUAUUUUAUGCUUCAAGAGCAUGCCAGAUUCUAGAGGUACUGCCAUUCAAAAUAAACUCUUCUCCAAGUGACUGAAAAUGCUAUUUCCCCUCAUUUGUGGGAAAGCAUAAAUAAUUAGGACAGCGUGAGAUGGGGAAACCAGCAGAGGGAGAAUUUGAUACACUAAACACAUGGGAAGCAGCAGGAGUAGCCACAGGGCUGGCUAAAGAACAGGAGUCAAAAGCAAAGAACGUUGACACUGAGCACACAUGGGAGGCACAGUCACUAUUUCUCCAGAAGGUUAUUCUUCUUACUGCAUCUUAAAGAUGCUAGAAAAUACAUCCAAGUUCUUUCCAGGCUGAUGCAGUUGCUAAAACAUAUGUAUGACACUCAAUAAUUCCAUGUGCAUCAUUUAAAAUACAUUUUUAAGCUCUCUAUUUUGAAAAACUUAUAAUUGAGUCAUUCACUAAGAGUGGUCUCUGGACAGGUGUGCAUUUGAGAACUGUUUAUUCCAGGUCUACAAAAAAUAUAGGAAGUGGGAGUAAGCAUUUAGAAAUGUUUAUAUGAAUUUUAUACUACCACAAUAUUUUUACUCUAUUUUAAAAAUGUAAAAUCAAAUGAAUUUUUUUUCAAAUGAAUUGAAAAAAUUGGCUUUUCAAUCACAUGUGGUUUGGGAAGCACCAAAAUAGCACCCAUGUUCGCAUCACCUAGAUUUAAUUGUUUCUAAAAAACUGGCAGAAAUGCAAAAUACUUCAUAGAAGAAUACUGUAUGAGGAGGAUAUAAAAUUAUGCACCUAAGAUUUGCUUUUAAAUUACUUCUUUAACUUCUUAACUGGCUUUUCUGUCUUAGUAGCUUAUCAUUGCCUUGAAGGUAGUGUGACCAGAAAGUCAGGGUUCCAUUUGUCAUGUUUCCACUUUCUAAUAUA
This 4876-nucleotide long non-coding RNA is filed under the name Sus scrofa (pig). Its description in RNAcentral is "lncRNA (ENSSSCG00025036729.1)". Lineage: Eukaryota; Metazoa; Chordata; Mammalia; Artiodactyla; Suidae. The record is from RNAcentral.